RNAcentral lists this ribosomal RNA (489 nucleotides) under uncultured bacterium. Its description in RNAcentral is "partial 16S ribosomal RNA". It matches the Rfam family "Bacterial small subunit ribosomal RNA", at positions 29 to 504 of the family's 1533-position model. The record is from RNAcentral.
AGUGAACGCUGGCGGUAGGCCUAACACAUGCAAGUCGAACGGCAGCACAGUAAGAGCUUGCUCUUACGGGUGGCGAGUGGCGGACGGGUGAGGAAUACAUCGGAAUCUACUUUUUCGUGGGGGAUAACGUAGGGAAACUUACGCUAAUACCGCAUACGACCUACGGGUGAAAGCAGGGGAUCUUCGGACCUUGCGCGAUUGAAUGAGCCGAUGUCGGAUUAGCUAGUUGGCGGGGUAAAGGCCCACCAAGGCGACGAUCCGUAGCUGGUCUGAGAGGAUGAUCAGCCACACUGGAACUGAGACACGGUCCAGACUCCUACGGGAGGCAGCAGUGGGGAAUAUUGGACAAUGGGCGCAAGCCUGAUCCAGCCAUACCGCGUGGGUGAAGAAGGCCUUCGGGUUGUAAAGCCCUUUUGUUGGGAAAGAAAAGCAGCAGGUUAAUACCCCGCUGUGCUGACGGUACCCAAAGAAUGAGCACCGGCUAACUUC